Molecule: long non-coding RNA, 104 nt
Organism: Populus euphratica (Euphrates poplar)
Lineage: Eukaryota; Viridiplantae; Streptophyta; Magnoliopsida; Malpighiales; Salicaceae
Exons: 3
Source: RefSeq, a predicted model, not a curated record
UCGGGAAUCUCCGGAUCUACGCUUAUUUUCAACUCCCCGAAGCAUUUCGUCGCUUACUACGCCCUUCCUCGUCUCUGGGUGCCUUGGUAUCCACCACAAGCCAA